Long non-coding RNA from Myxocyprinus asiaticus (Chinese sucker), 989 nucleotides. RefSeq lists it as uncharacterized. The transcript has 3 exons. Lineage: Eukaryota; Metazoa; Chordata; Actinopteri; Cypriniformes; Catostomidae. The record is from RefSeq and is a predicted model, not a curated record.
AUGAGGGUGAUUCGUGAGCGAAGUGUCUUGAGACUCAUGCCUUCACAGUGAGGACAGUCUGUCUCCAUGGGAGCUGACUCUGCGUGGGCACAGCCCAGACAGUAAACGCAGCUCUCAUGCUGAUCUGACGGCGGGAUGUGCCUCUCACACAAGGAACACUUACGGAACAACAUCUUUAAAAAGACACAAACAUGAUACACAAACCCUGCCGAAGCGCUGCGAGGAAUCAGGAUGCUGAGGCCCGUUCACCAGCAAAGCGUCAAUCGGCGAGGUGGUGUGAUGUUCGCCGGAGCACUGCUGGGGAGCGGAAAGUCUUCCCCUGAAGAUUCUGCCCGCUGACUCAUGUAUAUCGACGAUGAAGGAGCUGAGUGCCCCAGUGCAGUGGGCUAGACGUUCCCCGCUAAAUGGUUGUGGUUCCCCUGUCAUGUGCUUAGUGCUGUGUACUCACAACUAAUUCACCUGUGUGCUUUGUGUAAGUGAGCAUACACCUGUGGGUGAAGUCUCUUUUUAUUGGGGGAUCGCUGCGCUUGGCUAGCCUACCUGAUUCUGGUAAGCCUCAGCCCUCUGUGUUGCACAAGCAAAGAUAUGCUUGUUUUGUCUGUCUUUUGAGUGUGAAGCCUAUUGCGAACCAUCCAGCAGAUUGCCUGUGCUCAUAAUUUUAAUACACUUUUAAAUAACUGAGUGUCCAGUGCCCUUCAUAUAUAUGUAUCUUAAAAUAAAGAAUUAUUUUUGUACUUUGGUAUCCACGUCUCUAGCCCUUUUGUUUUGGAACAACAAACCUGUGUGCCCUUUCUAUUUUUAAUUGGGUUAGUAUUUCCCUGUUAACAACAGGGUGGCGUAGUCAACUUUUCUAUUGGUUUUCCCUCAAAUAUUAGCAUUAGCAGGAUUCUCCCCCAUCUGCUUGUGCUACAGUUCUAUCCUCUAGUCCCAUCACUCUGCUACAGUUCCAUGGAUCUUUAGUUUGAGAAACAUUGUUUCAGUCACUGCUG